This is a long non-coding RNA of Homarus americanus (American lobster), 187 nucleotides long. RefSeq lists it as uncharacterized. The transcript has 2 exons. The record is from RefSeq and is a predicted model, not a curated record. NCBI's taxonomy places the organism in Eukaryota, Metazoa, Arthropoda, Malacostraca, Decapoda, Nephropidae.
UUAUAGGAACAAACAAUGAGUGAGUGGUGAUGUGAGACUUAUAGGAACAAACAACGAGUGAGUGACGGUGAUGUGAGACUUAUAGGAACAAACAACGAGUGAGUGACGGUGAUGUGAGUCUUAUAGGAACAAACAAUGAGUGGUGACGGUGAUGUGAGUCUUAUAGGAACAAACAAUGAGUGAGUGA